AUACUCCGGUUUCUCUUCAAAACGCAUAAAUCUUUCGCCUUUUACUAAAUAUUACAUGGGAGAUACUUAUACUGAGAAAUUACACAUUAUCUGAAAUUCAAAUUUAAGUAGGCAU
Small nuclear RNA from Neomonachus schauinslandi (Hawaiian monk seal), 115 nucleotides. RefSeq annotates it as U5 spliceosomal RNA. The transcript has a single exon. NCBI's taxonomy places the organism in Eukaryota, Metazoa, Chordata, Mammalia, Carnivora, Phocidae. The record is from RefSeq and is a predicted model, not a curated record.